RNAcentral lists this long non-coding RNA (1742 nucleotides) under Sus scrofa (pig). Its description in RNAcentral is "lncRNA (ENSSSCG00040073716.1)". Lineage: Eukaryota; Metazoa; Chordata; Mammalia; Artiodactyla; Suidae. The record is from RNAcentral.
GGGGCCGUAAAUCAGAGUUGGAUCUGCAGCACCCCCCGCACCUAGAGGGCCACCAUGACCGAGGAGAGCUCCGAGGUGCCCGGGGAGUUGAUAGAAAGCAUAAAGGAUGUUAUUGGCAGAAAGAUAAAGAUUGCAUUGAAGAAGAAAGUAAAGUUGGAAGUUAAGGGAGACAAAGUUGAAAACAAAGUGCUGGUAAGUGUUAACCUAAAAAAAUGUUUAGAAGUAAAAGUGCUUUUCCCCCCUCCUUGUUUUGAUUGCCUUAUUUUUAUUUUAUUUUUUGGCUUUUUAGGGCCUCACACGCAGCAUAUGGAGGUUCCCAGGCUAGGGGUCUGAUCAGAGCUGUAGCCACCGGCCUACACAGCUAUAGCAACACCAGAUCCAAGCCGCAUCUGUGAUAUACACCACGGCUCAGCAACGCCAGAUCCUUAAUCCACUGAGCAAGGCCAGGGAUCGAACCCGCAACCUCAUGGUUCGGUUCCUACUUGGAUUCGCUUCCGGUGCACCACAACAGGAACUCCUGAUUGCCUUAUUUUCAUGCAGCUCUAGUCCUGUGUUUGAUAUUUUGUUCAAAAGUUCUGAUGCCCAUUUUGUCCUGGGCUAAUUGGAAUAUUUGUCCACUGGAAGGUAAAAGCAGGAUCAUUUAAAUUUUAGAGACUGAAAUUUUAAAAUUGUCUUUCUUAAAGUUGUAAAAGUCACCCACAUUUAGAUCAUCUCCUAGAAACCGUUUUCAAGUUACUCAAAAUUGGGCGUUAAAGGGAGCUUAGUUACUAUCUUUGUUGUGGCUGAUUAUUGGAUUUUUAUUUGUAAGGACUGAGGGAGGGUUUGAAAAAAUUCAUAUCAUGUCAAUUUCAUUAUUCAAUUUUCUCAAAUGUUAUAUCUGCAUCCAUCUUGGGGUGAUGGUUGAAGAAGGUGAAAAAAAUGUCCUUUUACAUUUUUUUUUUUAAAUUUUAAAUUUCUUGUUUACUCUUUAUUGCCUAUAGUUGAUUUACAGUGUUAUGUUGCUUUCUGCUGUUUACAUUGGAUUUUGGUGUCUCAGAGGGAAAUGCCAGCAGGCUGCUGGUGCUGAAAUGGGGCUUGGGGGCUUCCCUCUGAGUUGCUGGGGGGCUCAGGGGUAGACCUUUUGGGGCAUAGAAUUGUUGGGGAGUUUUCAGUGCUGACUUGUACCUUUAGGUGAAAAAAACGUUUUGUGGUGUUUUAGUGGUUUCUGUGUUGAAAUUGUGGCAAACCUUAAUUUAAGCUUAGGUAAAUACAUCUUGUUUGUGUUUUUAUUGGAGAGACUAUUCUGUGUAUCUUUUUAUCAUUAGGAAUUUUCAAACAGAUGCAAAAGUUGAGAAUGGGUAUACUUUUCAUCUGGCUUCAACAGUUUUCAGCAUUUUGCCAAUAGUGUUUUACCUCCUCACACUGCCCGCUCCUGCCCCCCGAGUAUUUUAAAACGAAUCCCAGGCAUAUGUCAUUCAAAGGGAAUAUUUUUACAUUCUCUUUCUUCAGUUGAAGUUGCCAUAGAAUUUGAAGUAUCUUUCUGAUAAUAUCUGUCUGGAGAAUCUGUUAAAAUAUCUAGGGAGUUUCCACUGUGGCUCAGUAGUAACGAACCUGACCAGUAUCCAUGAGGAUGCAGUUCGAUCCCUGACCUCACUCAGUGGGUUAAGGGUCCUGCAUUGCUGUGGAUCCGAUUCGACUCCUAGCCUGGGAACUUCCAUAUGCCACAGGUGUGGCCUAAAAGAAGAAAAAGAAAAAAAAAAAAA